This is a long non-coding RNA of Salvelinus fontinalis (brook trout), 4110 nucleotides long. RefSeq lists it as uncharacterized. The record is from RefSeq and is a predicted model, not a curated record. NCBI's taxonomy places the organism in Eukaryota, Metazoa, Chordata, Actinopteri, Salmoniformes, Salmonidae. The transcript is spliced from 3 exons.
GCAGUAAAUCACAACAUUCCAACUUUUGAAUGGUGAAGAGGGUAGCUAGCUGACGACAGAACUUCAGGCCACUAUUCAGUACGCAAGCAUCUGCUACUGGAUUAGUUUACACCUGUGUGUGUGUUGCAAGGCUAUGCCCAUGAUGCUCUUCAGAACUUGGGCACGCUACCCAAUCUUCAUCUACAAGGAUGGUAGAGGAGGAUGGUAACCUGGAGAUAGAGGAUGACGAGGAGGAGAGGAGGAUGGUUACCAGGUCCCAGAAUCAGCUGGUGGUCUCUGAAGAAGAGGAGGAGGACUGGGAAGCAGAGAUUAACAACAGCAAACUAUGUUAUGCCCCAGAGGACCUGUUGAGUCCAGGUGUUGUCCAUCCCUCCCAGUCCCACCCUAGCCGUGUGUCCUCUCCCUGGCCAGUCCAGGUACACCACUACACCCCCUCCGUGCACCAUACCCCUCCUGUCCUCUGGGAGCAUACUGCUGCACUCACCACGGCCGACCAGUUUGAAGAUGCAGAAGAAGAAUGAAGCUCUUGGGGAAAUCUGUUCUACCUGAUAGUUAAUAUCACCCACCUGAUGUCCCAGGUCUAAAUCAGUCCCUGAUAGUUAAUAUCACCCACCUGAUGUCCCAGGUCUAAAUCAGUCCCUGAUAGUUAAUAUCACCCACCUGAUGUCCCAGGUCUAAAUCAGUCCCUGAUAGUUAAUAUCACCCACCUGAUGUCCCAGGUCUAAAUCAGUCCCUGAUCAUUAAUAUCACCCACCUGAUGUCCCAGGUCUAAAUCAGUCCAUGAUCAGAGGAGAAUAAUGAAAAAAGCACUGGAAGGUCUUCAAGGUUCGGAUUAGAAUUUGAGGGCUCCAGGUAAAAAUGAUUGAUUUGGAUUUAUUUUUCCAGAGUUCAAAGGGCUUUACAUAGUGAAGGGGGAUCCUCAUAUCUUCCACCACCAAUGUGGGGCAGCAGGUAGCCUAGUGGUUAGAGCGUUGGACUAGUAACCGAAAGGUUGCAAGUUCAAAUCCCAGAGCUGACAUGGUGAAUUCUCUCAUUCUGCCCCUGAACAAGGCAAUAAACACACUGUUCUUAGGCCGUCAUUGUAAAUAAGAAUUUGUUCUUAACUGACUUGCCUAGUUAAAUAAAGGUUAAAUAAAUAAAUGUGGAGUACCUAAGGUGAUGAACUCCAACCAUUUUGUGCCAGAAGUCAUCUGGGUAGUUGCCACGGUCUUGACUACAUGACCGAAAUACAUGUCACCUUCCAUCCUAAAUUCAUGCUCUCCAACAUGGCCGAUGACGUGAUCGUAACGGCAGACGUUCACAGAUACUUUAAAGCUUCUGUGGAUGUGCACUAGGGCUGGGAAUUGUCAGGGACCUCACCAUACCAUAUUGCCAUGAUACUUAGGUGGCGAUACGAUAUGUGUUGAGACUCAUGAUUCUAUAUGGAUUGAUACGUAGGUGCCGAUACGAUAUGUGUUGAGACUCAUGAUUCUAUAUGGAUUGAUACGUAGGUGCCGAUACGAUAUGUGUUGAGACUCAUGAUUCUAUAUGGAUUGAUACGUAGGUGCCGAUACGAUAUGUGUUGAGACUCAUGAUUCUAUAUGGAUUGAUACGUAGGUGCCGAUACGAUAUGUGUUGAGACUCAUGAUUCUAUAUGGAUUGAUACGUAGGUGCCGAUACGAUAUGUGUUGAGACUCAUGAUUCUAUAUGGAUUGAUACGUAGGUGCCGAUACGAUAUGUGUUGAGACUCAUGAUUCUAUAUGGAUUGAUACGUAGGUGCCGAUACGAUAUGUGUUGAGACUCAUGAUUCUAUAUGGAUUGAUACGUAGGUGCCGAUACGAUAUGUGUUGAGACUCAUGAUUCUAUAUGGAUUACUAUUCAAUAGUGAUUUGAUGUUCCAAACAUAUUGUUCACCAUAUGUCUGCUGUAGAGAUACAAGAGAAAACAUGGUUUGAUCAGUCAUGGACAUAAGUGCUGAAAACAAAUAGUCUUCCUGUAUAAAAAGAAGAUGGAGAAGAAACUAUGAAGGAAGAAGACUGGCGUUCUGUUGUAGGUAAAGACAACCAGCACAAAAACAAUACUGUGAUUUUGUCAAAAUGAUGCGAUACAAUAUAUCGUCACAAAAUAAUAUCCUGAUGUGUAACUAUUGAUUGUUCCUGGUCACUAUUGUGCGGAGGAGUUUGCUCCGUCACGCAACGGGGUGGUAUAUACAGGCGUGGCCAAAAGGUUUGAGAAUGACACAAAUAUUAAUUUCCACACAGUUGCCUCAGUGUGUUUAGAUAUUUUUGUCAGAUGUUACAAUGGAAUACUGAAGUAUAAUUACAAGCAUUUCAUUAGUGCCAAAGGCUUUUAUUGACAAUUACAUGAAGUUGAUGCAUGGAGUCAAUAUUUGCAGUGUUGACCCUUCUUUUUCAAGACCUCUGCAAACUGCCCUGGUAUGCUGUCAAUUAACUUCUGGGCAACAUCCUGACUGAUGGCAGCCCAUUCUUGCAUAAUCAAUGCUUGGAGUUUGUUAGAAUUUGUGGGUUUUUGUUUGUCCACCCGCCUCUUGAGGAUUGACCACAAGUUCUCAAUGGGAUUAAGGUCUGGGGAGUUUCCUGGCCAUGGACCCAAAAUAUCGAUGUUUUGUUCCCCGAGCCACUUCGUUUUCACUUUUGCCUUAUGGCAAGGUGCUCCAUCAUGCUGGAAAAGGCAUUGUUUGUCAUCAAACUGUUCCUGGAUGGUUGAGAGAAGUUGCUCUUGGAGGAUGUGUUGGUACCAUUCUUUAUUCAUGGUUGUGUUCUUAGGCAAAAUUGCGAGUUAUCCCAGUCCCUUGGCGGAGUAGCAACCCCACACAUGAAUGGUCUCAGGAUGCUUUACUGUUGGCAUGACACAGGACUGAGGGUAGCGCUCACCUUGUCUUCUCCGGACAAGCUUUUUUCCGCAUGCCCCAAACAAUUGGAAAGGGGAUUCAUCAGAGAAAAUGACUUUACCCCAGUCCUCAGCAGUCCAAUCACUGUACCUUUUGCAGAAUAUCAGUCUGUCCCUGAUGUUUUUCUGGAGAGAAUUGGCUUCUUUGCUGCCCUUCUUGACACCAGGUCAUCCUCCAAAAGUCUUUGCCUCACUGUGCGUGCAGAUGCACUCACACCUGCCUGCUGCCAUUCCUGAGCAAGCUAUGUACUGAUAGUGACCCGAUCCUGCAGAUGAAUCAACUUUAGGAGACAAUCCUGUCGCUUGCUGGACUUUCUUGGGCGCCCUGAAGCCUUCUUCACAACAAUUGAACCGCUCUCCUUGAAGUUCCCGAUGAUCCGAUAAAUGGUUGAUUUAGGUGCAAUCUUACUGGCAGCAAUAUCCUUGCCUGUGAAGCCCUUUUUGUGCAAAGCAAUGAUGACCACGUGUUUCCUUGCAGGUAAUCAUGGUUGACAGAGGAAGAACAAUGAUUCCAAGCACCAUCCUCCUUUUGAAGCUUCCAAUCUGUUAUUCGAACUCAAUCAGCAUGACAGAGUGAUCUCCAGCCUUGUCCUCGUCAACACUCUAGAGAAUCACUGACAUGAUGUCAGCUGGUCCUUUUGUGGUAGGGCUGAAAUGCAGUGGAUUUUUUGGGGGGGGGUUCAGUUCAUUUGCAUGGCAAAGAGGGACUUUGCAAUUAAUUGCAAUUCAUCUGAUCACUCUUCAUAACAUUCUGGAAUAUAUGCAAAUUGCCAUCAUACAAACUGAGGCAGCAGACUUUGUGAAAAUUAAUAUUUGUGUCAUUCUCCAAACUUUUGGCCAUGACUGAACAUACAGUGGUGGCUGAGUAUAUUGGUCCCCUGGCACUUUUCCUAAAGAAUUCUCUAUUUCUUGUCAAAUAAGUUUAAGUUGAAGAAACCCUUUAGUUCCCUUGUCAUUGGAUUGGCAACACUGGAGAACCCAAACUGUUUAAUGUAGACAAUAGAAAGAAAUGGCCACCCAGGAGAUUGUACAUGUUUAGAUACAGAGCCUUCAGGAAGUUAUUCACACUCCUGGACUUGAUCCACAUGUUGUUGUGUUACAGCCUGAAUUUAACAUGGAUUACAUUUAGAUGGUGUGUCACUGUCCUACACACAAUACCCCAUAAUAUCAAAGUGGAGUUAUGUUUUUAUAAUUGUUUUACAAAUUAAUAAAACAAAUGAA